GAAAGUUUAAUUUGAUUCCUCUCAUGCAAGGGACACGCUGUUCUCAUUCAAGUGUUCAUCACUAAAAUAGAUGUAAAAGAACCCAUCUAUGACCUAUCCAUGAAAAUCAAACAUCGGCAAUGGUGAUGGAGCUAGAUUGUGACCUUUUACACAGCAGUAUAAUCCAAUGGCCAGCCACAACUUUCAUUGCAAACUACAAUUGCAGCCAAUACCCCAUUAAGGCUUAUUGUUCAUUGAAUCCAAUAUACACAUGAUCUACCCCAAGCCUCCAACAGAUGGAGGAAAAGAGUUCAACACGUAUAACACCAUAACUCUGGCAAUGCCAAUUACUAGUUUGAUGCCCCUGCAAAAUAAAAAAAUUCAUUAGGUGAAUAGCAUUAUAAAUAAUUCAAACAACACCACUAACCCAAAAUUGAGUAAUGAAUUAUAAUUAACAUCAAUUGCAAAUAACAAUUAACAUGUAUAUUUCCAUAAUUAUAUGUGGUAUGAGUCCAUGCUUAGCAAGUCGCAUAAUUGAUGUAACCAUGAUUAAGACCCCAAAACCCAUUUAAGAGCUACAAAGAAACAUGCUCUGAACUACGCCAUUCUACUGACCUUAACCAAAUAGAAAAAGGCAAUUAAAUUGUGCCUGAAAGAGUAAAUGGAUUUCAUACCUGAUGUUUUAGAAGCAGACACUCCUCCUCAUAUUGCUUCUCUAAUUCUAGUGAAUCUUCUUGAUUAGAUCACCCAUAACAAUAUGUAACAAAACUUAUCUAUGGAAUGUAUUAAUUCGAUCAAAAGCUCGUGUAAAAGAAACAUAGGCUCGGUUUACAUUUAUCAUACAACAAGAAUUUGACACAACUACAAUUGACUUAAUAUAUACAACAACAUUAUGCUCACGUACUGAAGAAAAUAGUCAACAUCAUGCCUAUAAACAGAAUUUGGCCACUAUGAACAGAAUUUAGUGACUAGCUUCAGUAUCCCAUCACUCUCUACCGACAACACCAGCUUCUUUCACCAGCUGCUCAGUCAAAGCUGACAAUCGAGCAACACCUGUUCUAACCUCCUUCAAACUUUCAUUGUUCUCAAAUGUGCCUAUCUGAUAAUCAGGGCCAUUUUGUGUGAACGUAUCAACAUCGGUAUCAGCAUCAAUGCUCAGACUAGCUUUAUUCAGAAGUUCUCGACUCAUCCCAGCAAGCUUCUGCAGAGCAAUGGUUGCAGCUUCAACUUCCAGUUGAGCUGCCUCAAGUUGUAGCUUCUCGAUAGCCAGGUCCCCAAUACUUUUCUCACCAAUUCUCUCUUGUGCCAAAGAAUAAAGCUUUUUCAGAUCAUUAGCAUCUGUUACCAUUUCGUCCUUGAGUCCUUUUAGUUCCCUUUCCCUGGAAUCUAAUCUCUCAAUAACUGCUUUGAGCUCCUCAUCUUUGAUUGUGAGAGCCCUCUGUGUAGCUAGGAGUUCCAUUUCUUUCAUUCUUAAGCUCUCUCUGGUCAGCCUGAGCUCACUUUCAAGCUGUUUCUUCUGCAAACUAAAAUCAUCACUUGACUUGUCCAAUGGUUGUCGAAUGAGUUCCAAGCCCAUGCUCUCAGAUUGCCCAAAUGCAUUAUAGUCUUCAUCCUUGACGGUAAUAACCAGUUUGUUUGUAAGCUCUACAAUCCGUUCCACUACAGUUUCAGCUUCAGAGAUUUUCAUCCUUGUGUCAUUCAGCUCAUCUUGCAUCAUGUGAACAUGCUCCUCUUUCUCCUUUAGCAUAUUUGUGGCUUGAAUUAGUUGGUCUUCUUUACUGCUCAAAAGCAUCUUUAGCUCAGCAACCUCCCGGUCUACUUCCUCCAGCUUCUUCUUUGCAUUAAAGAGUAGCAAAUCUUUCUCCUCCAAGAGAAGCUGAAGAGAAGACUGCUCAGAUUUCAAAUGCUGAAUUUCUAGCUUAGCCUCCACCAAUUCUGAUUCUUUAAACUGAAGAAUACCAUGAAUUUCCCCCAAUUCAGUAUUUUUUUCCUCUAGUUCCUGCUGUAAAGAAGACAUCUCCUUCAUUGCCUGCUUCAAAGAAGAUUUCUCCUUCUUCAACUGCUCAUGUAACUCUUUCAUGAGCUCCUUCUCCAAGGAUAAGUCUUGUUCAAGCUCCUUGUUUCGAGACUCUGCAACCCUAAGUUUUACUCUCUCACUCUCAACUUCUAUUUGGGCAUCUUUCAAACUAGUCAUGUAAGAUAUUACACUCUUCCUCUCCUCUUCAAGUUCCACUAGCUGCUUUUUUAAUAGCUGCUCCUGUUCUUCCAUUCGCUUUCUGGAGGAUGCCAGAGAUUUCUGUGAAGAAACCAGCUCAGAUCUCACAUCAACUAGAAGCUUUUUCACUCUUAUGAAAUCCUUCACAGUUUCAUUAGCUUCUACCAUAUGUUUAGAUGUUUCAUCUGCCAACUUCUUCAGUUCCUCCUGUGCUAUUAACCAUUCCAUUGUCUGCUUCUCUAAAUUGGCCUCUGCAACUUUUAACUUCUCCUCUUCAAGUCUUCUAAGAGUCAUAGAAACUUCCAGUUCUUCUUCUUUCUCUUGGAGAGCAUUUUUUAGUCCUUGAAUCUCAAUUUCUUGUUUCUUUACAAUUUCAUUGGCUUCAUCCAAGAGUUGAGCCUUGUAUUUCAGUUCAGAGUCAAUUUUAGUAACUUCCUCACUCUUCUUUGUCAGCUCACUUGUCAUUUUUUCCAUUUCAUGUUCCUUUACAAAUAGAGCAGAUUGUGCAGCAACCACCCCCUCCUCCCUCUCCUUAAGUUGAAGCUUUAAAUCUUCAAUCUGCCUGGCUUGAAAAGCUAGGUUAAGAUUUGCCUCCUUCACCUCCCCUUCUAGUUUUUCAUGCUUAGAAUAUGCAACAGCAAUUUCUUUUUCUCGUUGCUCCAACUCCUCCUUUGCACGGUUUAAAUCGUUGUGCUCUGACAAAACCUGUUUUUCUGCGUGUUGAAGAUCCUCUUCCUUCUUCCUCAAGGCUUCCAAAACAGCCAGAAGAUCAGACUCGAGGAUUUCAAGGUUAAACCCUGGUUGAACAUCCUUGGGAAGCUGAGAAUCUCCGCUCAUCUCUUCUUCAAGUUUCUGUGUCUGAGCAAACAAUCUCUCAAGAAGAAUCCUUGCAGGUUCAGUUGCCCCAUUGUCAUUAAACUUCGGCUUGCUGCCAUUUAAGGCUGAUUUGACAAUCCACCUUGAAGGUAUUGUUGUCUUUGCAAUUUUUAUAAAAUUCGGUCUGUUCUGCUUCACACUGAACCUCAGCGAGAACAACUGCAGCAAAACAUUUAUAUGCUUCCAAUAAAAAUCUAUUAAACUUGAUGUAUAAGCACAAUUUUCUUUCAAUUUGUUUUGCCCAAUAUUUGGCUGGAAUCCAAUUUAUAAUUCUUAAAUUUUCACAAAAUCAAUUAAAUUUUAAUCUAAAUGAGAGUCCACAUGCACAGAUAAAAAGAUAAAUAAUAGAAAAGAACAAAUUCAAUAUUCAUCCAAUGCAACAGUUAAUUUAACCAAAAGAAAAGGUGAAAAUUUCCUAUUGUUCAUCAUGCAUUCUCUUACCAAGAAAGGACUAGCAUCAUUUUACCCAGAAAAGUAGGAAAUUUUUUACACAACUGAACAGAUAAUAAAUAAUCUCAGAAAAAAAAAUUAAUAAUAAUAAAUUAACAAAUUCAGAUCCAUAUUACGCACCGACAAUUUCUCAAACCCUAAGUUGUCUCAAUCAUUUGGGAUGAUUCCCCCCACCCCAAAUAAAAACACACAAAUGUACAUAUGGAGAGGGAGAGACCUUUGGGGAGGUGUUGGCCGGAAGAUUGGAGCGAAGAGCAGAAGAAAACCCCAUGUGGCUGUGCUAUUAAGCAAAGCCACAUGCUCAUAUAGGCAGAAACAUGUCUACAAAAGGCCAGUAGGUCGUCGCUUCACUUGGCUUUCAAAAAACAGGUUCUCCUCCACCUUCGGUCUCUAAAAUUACAGAGUUAAUAAAUGAAGGUAGGUGUUUAGCGGACGCAGAAAGUAGACGACAGAGAGCUCCGGAAGACUGAAUGCGAC
This 3997-nucleotide unclassified non-coding RNA is filed under the name Hevea brasiliensis (rubber tree). Lineage: Eukaryota; Viridiplantae; Streptophyta; Magnoliopsida; Malpighiales; Euphorbiaceae. The record is from RNAcentral.